Molecule: ribosomal RNA, 699 nt
Filed under: uncultured bacterium
Lineage: Bacteria
Description: bacterial SSU rRNA
Rfam family: Bacterial small subunit ribosomal RNA
Source: RNAcentral
GGGAUAACACCUGGAAACAGAUGCUAAUACCGGAUAACAACACUAGACGCAUGUCUAGAGUUUGAAAGAUGGUUCUGCUAUCACUCUUGGAUGGACCUGCGGUGCAUUAGCUAGUUGGUAAGGUAACGGCUUACCAAGGCAAUGAUGCAUAGCCGAGUUGAGAGACUGAUCGGCCACAUUGGGACUGAGACACGGCCCAAACUCCUACGGGAGGCAGCAGUAGGGAAUCUUCCACAAUGGACGGAAGUCUGAUGGAGCAACGCCGCGUGAGUGAAGAAGGGUUUCGGCUCGUAAAGCUCUGUUGGUAGUGAAGAAAGAUAGAGGUAGUAACUGGCCUUUAUUUGACGGUAAUUACUUAGAAAGUCACGGCUAACUACGUGCCAGCAGCCGCGGUAAUACGUAGGUGGCAAGCGUUGUCCGGAUUUAUUGGGCGUAAAGCGAGUGCAGGCGGUUCAAUAAGUCUGAUGUGAAAGCCUUCGGCUCAACCGGAGAAUUGCAUCAGAAACUGUUGAACUUGAGUGCAGAAGAGGAGAGUGGAACUCCAUGUGUAGCGGUGGAAUGCGUAGAUAUAUGGAAGAACACCAGUGGCGAAGGCGGCUCUCUGGUCUGCAACUGACGCUGAGGCUCGAAAGCAUGGGUAGCGAACAGGAUUAGAUACCCUGGUAGUCCAUGCCGUAAACGAUGAGUGCUAAGUGUUGG